Molecule: transfer RNA, 75 nt
Filed under: Dehalococcoidia bacterium
Lineage: Bacteria; Bacillati; Chloroflexota; Dehalococcoidia
Also listed under: 1 other name
Description: tRNA-Gly
Rfam family: tRNA
About the family: Transfer RNA (tRNA) molecules are approximately 80 nucleotides in length.
Source: RNAcentral
GCGGGUGUAAUUCAGUGGCAGAAUGCUUGCUUCCCAAGCAAGACGUCGUGGGUUCGAAUCCCAUCACCCGCUCCA